CAGACUUUUGGCCCCGAUCUGGCGUGGGGGGCGUGGCAUCAACUGAGAGGGGCGUGACAUCAUGUGUGACAGCAGAACAGAGAAGGCGGGGGACCUUCCUCAGUCAUGUUGCCUUCAGGAAACGUAGGAGGAGGUCCAGGGUCCUGAGGGCCAGCCAGGAUUUCAGCAUGUCCUGAAGCUGCCAGGGCCCUGGUGGAAGCCAGGUGUCUCCAGGGGCUCGGAGAGAGACGGGUAGACAGACUCAUCGUGCUCUGGCAACGCCUGCCAGAGCGCGAUGAGCAGAGAGUCGUCUACCCGUCCAGACACCAGGACAGACGGUCCAAGGGUUCAAGGCAGCAAAGGGGAAGAACACUUCCUGUCCUGGAAAGGAAAGUCUCCAGCGCUGCCUACUCCGACUCAUUCCUGCAGACGGGCCAGAUGCAGCCACCUGGUGGAGGCCGUUUGCAGGUUUUUACCCUGACUGGACUCCGAGACGGUAUUUUUUACUGUGAACUGGACUGGUUUUUCCCGUUUUUUACGCUGAAUUGAAGUCCCUGACCGCGUCUCCCUGAUGGCCGGUGCUGUGGGUGACCUGACGCGGGCUCCGGUACCGUUCGGCCGGCAGGCCGUCCCCCAGCUGUUCCUGUCGCUGCAGGAGCCGCACACCGAGGACAGUCUGGGCGUCCUGGCUUCAUUCUGCGACGUCCUGCGCGAUCCUCCUUCACAGUCCGUCAACAGGCCACACUCACAUUGGGGGCGUCUUACUGCCAAGUCUGUGGCGGAUUGGAAGGAGGAGAUAAAAGGACGAAAACAAAAAGGUUUUGUAUAUAAAUGUAUAUAGUUCUUUUAUAAUUUAUAUAUAGUUUGUUUUUAUUUUGUAUAUACAUGUAUAUAUUUGUUUUUCAUGUGUGUAUUGUUUUUCUUUUUGUAUGAAUAAAUGUGGCUUGUUUCUCUUUCAACUUUGAAGCUUUGUCUCGUUCCUUGUUAAAUUAUACAUAUAUAGUUUGAUUAUCCACUUGAAAUGAUUGUUAAUUAUAUGACUGGAACAGAUUAGAUCCCAUUGGAAAAAACCCUCAGGGCAUACCUUUAAUUAUUAAUAAAUAACAAGAAGAACUGGAGUAAGUAGCCAAAACAAGAAGGCAACAAAACCAAAUGACCAGG
This is a long non-coding RNA of Cololabis saira (Pacific saury), 1140 nucleotides long. RefSeq lists it as uncharacterized. The record is from RefSeq and is a predicted model, not a curated record. Lineage: Eukaryota; Metazoa; Chordata; Actinopteri; Beloniformes; Belonidae. The transcript has 3 exons.